CUGUUUCUGCUUUUAAUUUCAAAAUACAGUUUUUUUUUUUGUCCCUUGCAGGCCCUCCCUAUCUGAAGAUUCGCUGACAUCUCUAAAAACAACCACCGGUGAGGCUAUAUGAGGUCCAAAACCAUCUCAGUGUUUUGACAUCAGAGCACAGCGGGCUUCAGGAACACGUGGCAGAGGUACAGACUAGAAACCGACUUCUGAAACAAGAAUAUGAUUCUCUGCUGGAGCAGCACCAGAACAUGGAGAGGACGUACCGACAAGAGAAACUCCGCAGCUCAGAGAUCCUGGACAACAUGAUCGGUCCAAAACAGCAGGCUGCUGUCCGCAUGAACCAUCGCAAUGAGAAGAGAGUGAGAGCCAGAGAGGCCAGUCUUCACAAAGAGCUUCAGAUGGCUGCCAGUAAGAAUGUGAAUAUUCAUGAAGAGUCAGGAAAUGUGUCACCUCCCAAGCCAUCAUCCCCUAAAAGUGACUCUUCACAGAGGUUGGAGAGAUCCCAUGGGCCACUUUUCAGGUCUGCUUCAGCUACAUCUCCCCGCAUCAUCAGCUCCAUCAGAGGACUUUUUGAGUAAGUCGCUGAAAGCUCUUUAAGUGCUGAUGAAUCACUGUAUAGCAUAAGUUGUGAUUGUCUGAAUUUUUUUAAGGCAUUUCACAGGGGAAUGUGAAGGGGAACGUUAUUUUUAAUGCUGACAUGUUAGUGUACAUGUACAUAGGUGUACAUAAAAAAGAUUAUGUAGAAAUUGUAAUAAAAGUGAGCAGUGCUUUUUAAAAUUAGAAAUA
Molecule: long non-coding RNA, 777 nt
Filed under: Sinocyclocheilus grahami
Lineage: Eukaryota; Metazoa; Chordata; Actinopteri; Cypriniformes; Cyprinidae
Description: lncRNA (ENSSGRG00000008417.1)
Source: RNAcentral